UUCCGGUUGAUCCUGCCGGACCUGACUGCUAUCGGAUUGAUACUAAGCCAUGCGAGUCAUUGUAGCAAUACAAGGCAUACGGCUCAGUAACGCGUAGUCGACCUACCCUAUGGACGGAAAUAACCUCGGGAAACUGAGAAUAAUAUCCGAUAGAACAUUAUGCCUGGAAUGGUUUAUGUUCCAAAUGAUUUAUCGCCGUAGGAUGGGACUGCGGCCUAUCAGUUUGUUGGUGAGGUAAUGGCCCACCAAGACUAUUACAGGUACGGGCUCUGAGAGGAGUAGCCCGGAGAUGGGUACUGAGACACGGACCCAGGCCCUAUGGGGCGCAGCAGGCGAGAAAACUUUGCAAUGUGCGAAAGCACGACAAGGUUAAUCCGAGUGAUUUCUGCUAAAGAAAUCUUUUGUUAGUCCUAGAAACACUAACGAAUAAGGGGUGGGCAAGUUCUGGUGUCAGCCGCCGUGGUAAAACCAGCACCUCAAGUGGUCAGGAUGAUUAUUGGGCCUAAAGCAUCCGUAGCCGGCUCUGUAAGUCCUCGGUUAAAUCUGUACGCUUAACGUACAGGCUGCCGGGAAUACUGCAUAGCUAGGGAGUGGGAGAGGUGGACGGUACUCGGUAGGAAGGGGUAAAAUCCUUUGAUCUAUUGAUGACCACCUGUGGCGAAGGCGGUCUACCAGAACACGUCCGACGGUGAGGGAUGAAAGCUGGGGGAGCAAACCGGAUUAGAUACCCGGGUAGUCCCAGCUGUAAACUAUGCAAACUCAGUGAUGCAUUGGCUUGUGGCCAAUGCAGUGCUGCAGGGAAGCCGUUAAGUUUGCCGCCUGGGAAGUACGUACGCAAGUAUGAAACUUAAAGGAAUUGGCGGGGGAGCACCACAA
RNAcentral lists this ribosomal RNA (876 nucleotides) under uncultured Nitrososphaerota archaeon. Its description in RNAcentral is "bacterial SSU rRNA". It matches the Rfam family "Archaeal small subunit ribosomal RNA", at positions 1 to 884 of the family's 1478-position model. The record is from RNAcentral. Lineage: Archaea; Thermoproteati; Nitrososphaerota.